This 66-nucleotide transfer RNA is filed under the name Stenocranus matsumurai. RNAcentral's name for it is "tRNA-Thr". The record is from RNAcentral. Lineage: Eukaryota; Metazoa; Arthropoda; Insecta; Hemiptera; Delphacidae.
AAUUUAGUAGUUUAACAAAAACAUUGAUUUUGUAAAUCAAAUUUAGAAAUAAGAGUCUUUAAAUUA